Molecule: long non-coding RNA, 2840 nt
Filed under: Mus musculus (house mouse)
Lineage: Eukaryota; Metazoa; Chordata; Mammalia; Rodentia; Muridae
Description: long non-coding RNA chr10:81148453-81151293
Source: RNAcentral
AAAAACAAAACAAAACAAAAAACUAAGAACAGAGAGAAACCACCACCCACCCCCAGCACCACGAGUAAGCAGUUCUCUGUCCAGACGCCCUCCAUCCACCUGCGCGGACGUGUGUGCGUGUAUAUACCAUGGCCGCGGGCGCCUGCCUUUCUCAGAUCCUUAGGAUGUGGCCCCAUCUGCUCCUGUGUCCCUCGUCCCAUCCACCAAGGGGUCCCACGCAGGGGCCCAGCCUGCUCUUGGCUAAGGCGAGGGUGAUGGGGACCCCAGGACAGGCGCCCGGCUCCUUGCUGGUUGGUUUUAGGGGGUCUUAGACAGACCUUAAAUGCUCUGUCCACUAUGAGUGGACGUUAAAAUGGUCCCCACCCUCCUUCCUCAGGGCACUUACUAAAGAGGGGGGUGUCCCCUCGGCCUCCCUCCCGGCCUGUGGCCUCCGCAUCUCUGCACAUCCACCCUGGCCACCACUGACAUACAAAUCUAUUUAUUCCCAAGCCUGGAUGGCCAGAGCGGGGAUUGGGGGGGGGCCGCUGGGGUCCCCGCCACCCUCCUUCACGGCACUUACACCUGACGGGGCCCUCGGGGCCACUGCUCAGGGCGACCCCCCCCCCAACCUUCCCAUCUCUGCUUGGCCAUGCCCCCACCCCGUGUUCAGAGAUUGAAAAUUUGUCGUCACCCCACUCCCCACUUUUUAAGGCACUUUUUAGAUCGAUUUCCCCUUUGACUCCUUAAAGACAGUUUAUAUAGAGAUAUAUAUAGAGAGAGAUAUAUAAAAUAUUCUUUUCCUCAGAGGAGCCGGCAGCAGUUUUGGGUGGACAUAGCCAAGAUCAGAGGUAACCCCAGGGACUCAGGCAGAGACAGACAAGGGAGUGAGAGAGGCCACAGCUUAAUGUCACAAAACAGCAAUAAAACCCCAAGAUUUUAGUAAACACGAAGGCAGAACAUUUUUUAAAAAAUCAGCAAAAGCGGUGACAGCCACGUGGGGAUCUUGGCACUUUGUAACUGAACGGGUACUUUUCAUUCUUAACUUGAGAAAUGUUUACAAGUUGCACCCAGCUUCUAUGAAAAAUUGAAGAGAGAGCGAGAGAGUGGGAAGUAACUAAGUCAAUUUAUUUUUGUAUAAAAUAAAAGAACCCCAACCCAUCGCUCCGGUAGAAUCCACUUGCGCUCCCGAGACUCAGGGUGGGGCGUCCAGGGCGCCAUGGGAAGGGACCCGUGGGUCCCCCAGUCUGCCAGGGGCCUCUGUCCCCCAGGUUAUUUUAUUUUCUCAUUGUCUCUGUAGGAGACCACAGGCCUGGGAGCCGCAGGCCACCUGUGCUGUCCUUCCCAGCUCAGGGAUGUCCCCGAGAGAGGGCUGGUCCUCGACUAGCCAGAUCCCCAUGCCCCAUGUCUGUCCCCUCCCCAUGUGGUGGUCCCCCUCUUAGGCACCCCCUCUUUUUACUCAAAGGCACUGACUGUAACCCAGGGGCUAGCACCCGAGCCCCCCAUACCCCAAACUCUGGCUUCCCCCAAAGGCCCGGUAUUGACCGAGCCACAGGCCACGGACAGGGGCCGGGGUUGGGGGACAUGGCUGCUGGGUGCCAGGGCGCCCCCCGUCAAACCCCGUGGCCAAGGUGGAACCAAACUUGGGACCUUGUCCAUGCACACUCUGUCCAGCCCUUCCCCAUGGGUGCCGGCGGGGGUAGCGGGUGUUCCUGUGUCCCCCGCUGACAAAUGUCUUUCUUUGGUUUUAAAAGGAAGCUCACUAAGAAGGUCGCUUUCCAGUUUCUAGCAGAGGGGUUUUCCUUUCUAACUCCUCCUACCACGCGAGCCCUCCCCCCCCCCCCAGAUGUCUCAGGAUCCCCCCUUGGGGCCAGCAGAAUGGGCCCAGGGGCGGGGUGGUGCUGGCCUCCCCUCGCACCCCACUUCCGCAGUGAGCUGUCCCGGGAACUGUGCUGUGGAGGCCAAGUUGGGCCCCCAGCCCCCAUUCCCAGACAGGUCAGCCCCUCCACCUUCUCGCAAUAAAACCAACUUUAAUCACAUGUCAUCCUGGCCAGUGGCCACUAGACUUGGGGUGGAUGGAGCCCUUGGGGACUAUGGUAGGGUGCCCCAUAACCCGCCAGCGAAACCGCAACCCCCUUGGGAAUUGCACUAAACCCUUGACCCCCGCUCCGCGCUCAGCUUCUGCCCACCCACACCCACCUUGCCUUAACCGCCAGCCCGUCCUAGGGGGCCGCAGCCACCGCAUGGGCCCAGCGCCGGGACAUCCCCCAGCCCCCUAAAGGCCCGCCCGUACCCCGCCCCCCAAUAUACUGCAAUCACAUACUGUAUAUAGAAUGCGGAUCAAUUUUUACAAAUUUUUAUUCUUUAAAUUAAGGCCGUGAUAAAAGUUGCCAAAGAGAAUUGUGGAAUUCACUAGAGGUUUGAGCGGAGGGUGCUGUAGAAAGGUUUUAUUUGGUUGUUUGGGGUUUAUUUUGUGUGUGUGUGUGUGUGUGUGUGUGUGUGUGUGUGGUUUUUUUGUUUGUUUGUUUUUUUGCUUUUUUUUCUUUUUCCUUUUCCCUCUACUUUUUUUUUUUUUUUUAAUUGCCUGGUACCAAUAACAAAAAGGAAAAAAAAAACACAACAGAAAUUUGUUACUUCCAUUAUGGUGAAUUUGCGUGUGUGUGUGUGUGAGUGUGUGAGACAGACAGAAGGGCCCAGGCUGUGGGGUUCUGGGGACCCCAGUGCUGGGGAGGGGACCAGCCUGCAGCUGGCCCCAAGCCUGUGACCUGAGCAAGGCCACCCCUGCUGAGUAGUUGCUGCUCUUUGCCUUCCUAUCCCUACAGGCCUUUCGAGAUUAAGAAAAAAGAAAAAAAAAGGCAAAAAAU